UAUAGGAGCUAUUUAUAACGCAGUAUAUCCUAAUGAUUAUUUCAAUAAAAACAUCGAAUCUGAAGGGAUUUUCAACUGUUGAUUCCAGCUACUUUGACCGAAAUCUAUGCUUCUUUAUGCUGCUUAUGCUUGAAUCUGAUACAAUGAUAGUUAUCCAUUUGUUUUAAAAACUGGUCUAAACUUUCAAUAGCAAUAGAAAUAAACAAUGAUUAAACAUGUUGAUCAACCUUUUGAACUCCAAACUGAUUGAAUGAUUUCAAUCAACAAUAAGCCCAAAUUAAUGGUGUUUACAAUAAGUUAACGAUGUUUUUGUAGAUCUCAAUCGUUUUAUCAUGAAGUUAUGUUUUGAAUUACAACAAAAACAAGUUAAUUAUUUGUCUCUGUUGACUUGAAGGGUUAAUUAUACUUUUAUAAAAACAUCCCGAAGUCAGGAGAUUAACACGAGUUUCGUCUACGAGUCAAAGUCCAAAAACUUUACACUGGCUUAACUGAAUCAAUUAAUUCUAUUUUUGGAAAAGUUUCGAUUGUAAAGAAUCAUAUUUGUGUUUAUCCUCAUCAAAACAUUGUACACUCACGUACAUCAUCCAUAAGCACUAGAUUUCCUAUUUAAAGACAUGUCUGAACCAAACUUUGUAUCAUACAUCGAUAGACUUCAAAUCAACAACAGUUAAAAUUUAAUUCUUUGUUCUGCUUAAUUCAAUCAUUGUUUAACUUGGUACUUAAUUAUAAUGGAUCCUUCAAACAGAACCAACCAGUGCAACCCAACACACACCCCAAGUGGCCCAGGCCAUAAUGCAGGCUACCAAGGGAUGGGAACCAAAACUGAUAUGGGCAAUCAUGCAAACCAAAUGAACCCCAACAAUCCUGCUUAUGCUAGUAGUCGAGAUGGAAACAAAAAAGGACCAUGAGCUUAUUCGAAGAUACAACGAGCGAUUUUUUUCUUAUGCAUUUUCUUUAAAGCUUUACAUCUAUUGAGUCUUUACAGAAUAAAAUUGAACCUAAAUUGAAAAUAA
Long non-coding RNA from Tetranychus urticae (two-spotted spider mite), 1013 nucleotides. RefSeq lists it as uncharacterized. The record is from RefSeq and is a predicted model, not a curated record. Lineage: Eukaryota; Metazoa; Arthropoda; Arachnida; Trombidiformes; Tetranychidae.